UGGGGGAUAUUGCACAAUGGGCGAAAGCCUGAUGCAGCAACGCCGCGUGAGGGAAGACGGUUUUCGGAUUGUAAACCUCUGUCUUUGGUGAAGAAAGAAAUGACGGUAGCCGAGGAGGAAGCCACGGCUAACUACGUGCCAGCAGCCGCGGUAAUACGUAGGUGGCAAGCGUUGUCCGGAAUUACUGGGUGUAAAGGGAGCGCAGGCGGGGAGACAAGUCAGCGGUGAAAACUAUGGGCUUAACCCAUAAACUGCAGUUGAAACUGGUUUGCUUGAGUGGAGUAGAGGUAGGCGGAAUUCCGAGUGUAGCGGUGAAAUGCGUAGAUAUUCGGAGGAACACCAGUGGCGAAGGCGGCCUACUGGGCUUUAACUGACGCUGAGGCUCGAAAGUGUGGGGAGCAAACA
This 405-nucleotide ribosomal RNA is filed under the name uncultured prokaryote. RNAcentral's name for it is "bacterial SSU rRNA". It matches the Rfam family "Bacterial small subunit ribosomal RNA", at positions 355 to 774 of the family's 1533-position model. The record is from RNAcentral.